UCCCUCUUAGCUCAGUUGGUAGAGCGCGUCACUAGUAUUCCACGUCGUUUGGGUUUUAUGACGAGGUCAGUCGUUCAAGUCGGCUAGAGGGAA
This is a non-coding RNA of Desarmillaria tabescens, 93 nucleotides long. The record is from the annotation of a RefSeq genome assembly. NCBI's taxonomy places the organism in Eukaryota, Fungi, Basidiomycota, Agaricomycetes, Agaricales, Physalacriaceae.